GUUUAGGGGCCCGAACACCUUCUCCUGGCCCCUGUCUGCUGUGCUCCCACUUUACCCCCCAAAGUGGACUCCAUUUUGGACUUGAUUGGUAACCAGGUCCUGCAAGCCGUGCCCCAAGACUGGAGAGUUCAGAGAAAGGGAUCUAGUCCAGGCUCUUCUGCUAAUUGGCUAAGUAGCCCCAGGCAAAUCACAUGGUCUCCCAGAGCUCCCUCCUCAAACUCAGAACGGUAGCUGGAUCAGUCAGUCACAAGGCAGAAUGCAGUGUUCUCACAGUAGAACCCACUGGUCUCCUUCCCUGGAGCAAGUCCCACUGUGCAAC
This is a long non-coding RNA of Cervus elaphus (red deer), 319 nucleotides long. RefSeq lists it as uncharacterized. Lineage: Eukaryota; Metazoa; Chordata; Mammalia; Artiodactyla; Cervidae. The record is from RefSeq and is a predicted model, not a curated record. The transcript is spliced from 3 exons.